Molecule: long non-coding RNA, 327 nt
Filed under: Oryza sativa (Asian cultivated rice)
Lineage: Eukaryota; Viridiplantae; Streptophyta; Magnoliopsida; Poales; Poaceae
Description: long non-coding RNA (OSAT_LNC001740)
Source: RNAcentral
GUACCCGAACCGGUCGCCGUCGUAGGACGCCUGCGCGUCGACGCUCCUGAAGUUGAUGCCGAAGCGGUUGGGGUUGCGCACGCGCAUGCCCACGGUGAGGUUGUACACGAGGAGGCUGCCGCCGUUGGUGAGGUCGAAGCGGGACAGCGCAGCGGUGUCGGCGUAGGCCUUGACGACGCUGGGGCGGUAGAUGAGCCAGAGGACGAGGACGGCGGUGCCGAGCGCGAUGACGGCGACGGCGAGCACCCUGAAGAGGCAGCAGAACAGACGGUGCGCGCCGCUCCGGCGUGGCGCGGGCGGAGGCGCCGCUGCGCCGUAGUACGCUGC